RNAcentral lists this ribosomal RNA (777 nucleotides) under uncultured Neocallimastigales. RNAcentral's name for it is "partial large subunit ribosomal RNA". It matches the Rfam family "Eukaryotic large subunit ribosomal RNA", at positions 23 to 626 of the family's 3401-position model. The record is from RNAcentral. Lineage: Eukaryota; Fungi; Neocallimastigomycota; Neocallimastigomycetes; Neocallimastigales.
AGAGAGAGACAUGCGCGCAUAUCAAUAAGCGGAGGAAAAGGAAACUAACAAGGAUUCCCUUAGUAACGGCGAGUGAAGCGGGAAGAGCUCAAAUUUGAAAUCUUCAAGGUUUUACCUUGACGAAUUGUAGUUUAAAGAAGUGUUUUCUGCUGAAGUUUUGGUAAAAGUUCUUUGGAAUAGGACAUCAUAGAGGGUGAGAAUCCCGUAUUUGACCAUUAUUUUCAGCUUUGUGAUACACUUUCAAAGAGUCGGAUUGUUUGGGAAUGCAGUCCAAAAUGGGUGGUAAAUUUCAUCUAAAGCUAAAUAUUGGCGAGAGACCGAUAGCGAACAAGUACCGUGAGGGAAAGAUGAAAAGAACUUUGAAAAGAGAGUUAAACAGUACGUGAAAUUGUCAAAAGGGAAGCGUUUGACACCAGUGUUGUUUUCUCGAAAAUCAAUUAAAAAUGGCUCGAUUUUGUAUUGCUUGAGACCUUAAAAGCUCACUGUACAUUUUUCGUGUCUUUUUUAAUGCACUUUUCGUUUAACAAGUCAACAUCAGUUUCUUUUGUUGUAAAAGGGUCAUUGGAAGGUGGCUUUCUUUUCGGAGAAAGUGUUUAUAGCCUUUGGCCUCUGCAAUCGGAAGAGACUGAGGUCUGCAGCGUAGACUCUUCGGGGUUAGAUACAUUUGUGCUAAGUUAUAGCUUUUUAUAGACAACUUGUUGACUAUAAUUAGUCUUGUAGCUUACUCACUUAUGCUAUUUUACCUACGCUUAGGAUGUUGAGUCGUAGAGCACGCAG